GGCAUGGUGGCAUAGUGGUUAGCACUGUUGCCUCGCAAGAAGUAAGUUCCGGGUUUGAAUCCGGGCCCGAUCG
RNAcentral lists this transfer RNA (73 nucleotides) under Anguilla anguilla (European eel). RNAcentral's name for it is "tRNA-OTHER". Lineage: Eukaryota; Metazoa; Chordata; Actinopteri; Anguilliformes; Anguillidae. The record is from RNAcentral.